UACGGAGGGUGCAAGCGUUAUCCGGAUUCACUGGGUUUAAAGGGUGCGUAGGUGGGCAGGUAAGUCAGUGGUGAAAUCUCUAAGCUUAACUUAGAAACUGCCGUUGAUACUAUCUGUCUUGAAUGUAGUGGAGGUGAGCGGAAUAUGUCAUGUAGCGGUGAAAUGCUUAGAUAUGACAUAGAACACCCAUUGCGAAGGCAGCUCGCUACACUACGAUUGACACUGAUGCACGAAAGCGUGGGGAUCAAACAGG
Molecule: ribosomal RNA, 253 nt
Filed under: uncultured Flavisolibacter sp.
Lineage: Bacteria; Pseudomonadati; Bacteroidota; Chitinophagia; Chitinophagales; Chitinophagaceae
Description: partial 16S ribosomal RNA
Rfam family: Bacterial small subunit ribosomal RNA
Source: RNAcentral